UACAAGUACGGCCUCAUUUAAGAAAAUUGGCAGCACUUGAGUUCAAGUGCGGGCUCACUUAAAAAACGAGCCGCACAAAAUUUCACGGGUUCUUAUUUUCAAUUUAAUUUUCAUUUUCGCGCUCCUCUCCUUCCCCUUUCUCUACCUCAUCUCUCUUUCUCCAGCUCAAACGACUCUCACUCUUCACCUCAAACCCCCUCUCUCGUCCCUUUGCUGCUUCUCGGCCGGUAACCCGCCACCACCAUUUCUCUUGUCGGCGGCACAACUGCUUCUAUCUUUGUUGUUUUGCGCUGCCCAGUUGUUGGUUCUCUGCUCUCUCUCGCCGGCUUCAUCUUUCUCUCGUUACUACCUUGUAUCUCCACCACCAACGGUGGCCGAAGGUGGUAGCUGAGGUUUGUCAUCCGUGCUACACUGUCGAUCGGUUCACCUUGCUGAUGGGUUUCAGGUUCUCUAAAACCUUACAAUUUCUGGUCUCCAAGAAGGGGGUGAUAUCAUUGGAUCCGUGGAGAGUAUUAGAGUAGUAGUUCUGGUGCAUCUAAUGUGGGACACCAGCCUGUCCAGAAAUUUUACAUGAUUGUAGUUGUUGUAGAUUCAUCAAAUCCAAGCUCUGGCACACUUUAUUAUUGGACAGGAAGAACAUACACACUGCCGGUUCAAAGUAUUCAAACAAAUUAGUUCACCUGGUAUUCAACAAUCCGAGGGAGCAGCCUUUUACCAUUGAGUAGAUAAAUGAAGUUCGAGAAAAGUUGGCAAAUUUCAUUACCAUUUAUCGUCUUUGAUAUUUUCUUGUAGUGAAUCUUAUAUUAUGGAUGCUAGUUUUUCAUAGGAUUGUAAUGUAAUCAAUUUUUAUAUUUAUAAUUAUAUACUAUUUAAUUUAAUUAUCUAUAUAAUUGGAUACUUUUUUUA
Spinacia oleracea (spinach) is the source of this 906-nucleotide long non-coding RNA. RefSeq lists it as uncharacterized. The transcript has 4 exons. The record is from RefSeq and is a predicted model, not a curated record. NCBI's taxonomy places the organism in Eukaryota, Viridiplantae, Streptophyta, Magnoliopsida, Caryophyllales, Amaranthaceae.